UACAGAGGGGGCAAGCGUUAUUCGGAAUUAUUGGGCGUAAAGGGCGCGUAGGCGGCUUUGCAAGUGACGGGUGAAAUCCCUCGGCUUAACCGAGGAACUGCCUGUCAAACUGCAUGGCUUGAGACCGGGAGAGGUGAGUGGAAUUCCUGGUGUAGCGGUGGAAUGCGCAGAUAUCAGGAGGAACACCGGUGGCGAAGGCGGGUCUCUGGGCCGAUACUGACGCUGAGACGCGAAAGCGUGGGGAGCGAACAGG
RNAcentral lists this ribosomal RNA (253 nucleotides) under uncultured bacterium. RNAcentral's name for it is "partial 16S ribosomal RNA". It matches the Rfam family "Bacterial small subunit ribosomal RNA", at positions 524 to 776 of the family's 1533-position model. The record is from RNAcentral.